This 74-nucleotide transfer RNA is filed under the name Acidovorax sp. Root568. Its description in RNAcentral is "tRNA-Asp". It matches the Rfam family "tRNA". Rfam says of the family: Transfer RNA (tRNA) molecules are approximately 80 nucleotides in length. Their secondary structure includes four short double-helical elements and three loops (D, anti-codon, and T loops). Further hydrogen bonds mediate the characteristic L-shaped molecular structure. tRNAs have two regions of fundamental functional importance: the anti-codon, which is responsible for specific mRNA codon recognition, and the 3' end, to which the tRNAs corresponding amino acid is attached (by aminoacyl-tRNA synthetases). tRNAs cope with the degeneracy of the genetic code in two manners: having more than one tRNA (with a specific anti-codon) for a particular amino acid; and 'wobble' base-pairing, i.e. permitting non-standard base-pairing at the 3rd anti-codon position. The record is from RNAcentral. Lineage: Bacteria; Pseudomonadati; Pseudomonadota; Betaproteobacteria; Burkholderiales; Comamonadaceae.
GGAGUGGUAGUUCAGUUGGUUAGAAUACCGGCCUGUCACGCCGGGGGUCGCGGGUUCGAGUCCCGUCCACUNUA